Molecule: regulatory RNA element, 127 nt
Organism: Pontibacillus marinus BH030004 = DSM 16465
Lineage: Bacteria; Bacillati; Bacillota; Bacilli; Caryophanales; Bacillaceae
Rfam family: ylbH leader
About the family: This family is a putative regulatory RNA structure that is found upstream of the ylbH gene in B. subtilis and related low GC Gram-positive bacteria.
Source: Rfam
AUAAAAAAAAGCCUGCAGAAAAAUUUCUGCAGGCACCUUUUUGGAUUGAACUAAAUCAAACAAAAAGGCAAAGGGAGAGGAGAAACCGGAGGAAGAACUUAUGGGGAAACGUAAGUCUUCUCCGUCU